UACGGGGGGAGCAAGCGUUGUUCGGAUUUACUGGGCGUAAAGGGCGCGUAGGCGGCACUGCAAGUCGACUGUGAAAUCUCCGGGCUUAACCCGGAAAGGUCAGCCGAUACUGCGGGGCUAGAGUGCAGAAGGGGCAACUGGAAUUCUCGGUGUAGCGGUGAAAUGCGUAGAGAUCGGGAGGAACAUCCAUGGCGAAGGCAGCUACCUGGACCAACACUGACACUGAGGCACGAAAGCGUGGGGAGCAAACAGG
Molecule: ribosomal RNA, 253 nt
Filed under: uncultured bacterium
Lineage: Bacteria
Description: partial 16S ribosomal RNA
Rfam family: Bacterial small subunit ribosomal RNA
Source: RNAcentral